CACAUGCAAGUUGAACGGGGAUAAUGAUUUCGGUUGUUAUCCUAGUAGCGGACGGGUGAGUAACGCGUGAGUAACCUACCUUUGUGAGGGGGACAACAGCUGGAAACGGCUGCUAAUACCGCAUAAGGCCACGACCUCGAGGGAGGAUGUGGUAAUAGAUUUAUCGCACAGAGAUGGACUCGCGUCCCAUUAGCUAGUUGGUGAGGGAACGGCUCACCAAGGCGACGAUGGGGAGCCGGCCUGAGAGGGUGAUCGGCCACACUGGAACUGAGACACGGUCCAGACUCCUACGGGAGGCAGCAGUGGGGAAUAUUGGGCAAUGGGCGCAAGCCUGACCCAGCAACGCCGCGUGAGGGAAGACGGUCUUCGGAUUGUAAACCUCUGUCCUUGGGGACGAAAAAAAUGACGGUACCCAAGGAGGAAGCUCCGGCUAACUACGUGCCAGCAGCCGCGGUAAUACGUAGGGAGCAAGCGUUGUCCGGAAUUACUGGGCGUAAAGGGUGCGUAGGCGGUCAGGCAAGUCAGAUGUGAAAUCCCCGGGCUUAACUCGGGUGGUGCAUUUGAAACUGCUUGACUUGAGUGCAGGAGAGGAAAGCGGAAUUCCUAGUGUAGCGGUGAAAUGCGUAGAUAUUAGGAGGAACACCAGUGGCGAAGGCGGCUUUCUGGACUGUAACUGACGCUGAGGCACGAAAGCGUGGGGAGCAAACAGGAUUAGAUACCCUGGUAGUCCACGCUGUAAACGAUGGAUACUAGGUGUGGGGGAGAUACAACCUCCGUGCCGCAGCUAAAACGCAUUAAGUAUCCCGCCUGGGGAGUACGGCCGCAAGGUUGAAACUCAAAGGAAUUGACGGGGGCCCGCACAAGCAGCGGAGCAUGUGGUUUAAUUCGAAGCAACGCGAAGAACCUUACCAGGUCUUGACAUCCAGUAAAAACUGUAGAGAUACAGUGUGCCUUCGGGCGUACUGAGACAGGUGGUGCAUGGUUGUCGUCAGCUCGUGUCGUGAGAUGUUGGGUUAAGUCCCGCAACGAGCGCAACCCUUAUUUUCAGUUACUAACGCGUAACGGCGAGGACUCUGAAGAGACUGCCGGGGACAACUCGGAGGAAGGUGGGGACGACGUCAAAUCAUCAUGCCCCUUAUGACCUGGGCUACACACGUGCUACAAUGGCUACUACAAAGAGGAGCAAGCCCGCAAGGGGGAGCGGAUCUGAGAAAAGUAGUCCCAGUUCGGAUCGUGGGCUGCAACCCGCCCACGUGAAGUCGGAGUUGCUAGUAAUCGCGGAUCAGCAUGCCGCGGUGAAUAAGUUCCCGG
This 1311-nucleotide ribosomal RNA is filed under the name uncultured bacterium. RNAcentral's name for it is "bacterial SSU rRNA". It matches the Rfam family "Bacterial small subunit ribosomal RNA", at positions 52 to 1377 of the family's 1533-position model. The record is from RNAcentral.